UAAACAUUGAUAGUAUACUACAACUACUAUCCGCCAGGGAACUACGAGCAUUAGCUUAAAACCCAAAGGACUUGGCGGUGCUUAAGAUCCACCUAGAGGAGCCUGUUCUAGAACCGAUAACCCCCGUUCAACCUCACCCCCCCUUGCUUUACAGCCUAUAUACCGCCGUCGUCAGCUUACCCCGUGAAGGUAAAAUAGUGAGCAAAACUGGCCUACCCCUAAACGUCAGGUCGAGGUGUAGCAUAUGGGAGGGGAAGAAAUGGGCUACAUUUACUAAUUUAGUAAAUACGAAUAAUGCAGUGAAAUACGCAUUUGAAGGAGGAUUUAGUAGUAAGUGGAAAAUAGAGCGUUCCACUGAAUUUGGCCCUAAAGCGCGCACACACCGCCCGUCACUCUCCCCGAACUACCAACCCAAAAAUAACUAAUACCCCACAACUGUAAAGGGGAGGCAAGUCGUAACAUGGUAAGUGUACUGGAAGGUGCACUUGGAAAACU
This 495-nucleotide ribosomal RNA is filed under the name Microctenopoma fasciolatum. RNAcentral describes it as "partial 12S ribosomal RNA". It matches the Rfam family "Bacterial small subunit ribosomal RNA", at positions 801 to 1533 of the family's 1533-position model. The record is from RNAcentral. Lineage: Eukaryota; Metazoa; Chordata; Actinopteri; Anabantiformes; Anabantidae.